Molecule: long non-coding RNA, 892 nt
Organism: Peromyscus leucopus (white-footed mouse)
Lineage: Eukaryota; Metazoa; Chordata; Mammalia; Rodentia; Cricetidae
Exons: 2
Source: RefSeq, a predicted model, not a curated record
UGCCGUUGGGCCCGAUUUGCAUGCUUGGUGGAAUGAAGAGCUGGGAGUGUAUGUGGUCAAAAUACAGUGUACACAAGUAUGAAAUUCUCAAAGAAUAAAUUAAAAUGCUCCAAAGAAUGACGGGCUCUUUUCACAGCCAACUCCCGCACUUCGGACAAUAUUCCCCAGAGGUCUCGGGGCAGUGCGUAGUGCAGAGCGUGCAGAGCGUGCAGCGUUGCAUUCUGGGAGGCACAAUUUUUUUUUUUUUUAAGAGGUUUUACCUGGCAGCCAUCAGGGUUCACUUUAAACCCUGCCUCGGGGUCUGGUGCCGGGAAUAGGAGAGGAAAGCGGUCUCUGGACGGAAAAUUGUUCAGUCCUCAGAUGAUAUCUGGACCGGUCUUCCGUGGGGACUCUAUGCAAAGGAGAGGAUCUUGAAAGGAAAAAAACCAAGCAAGAUGAACUCCUGGAGAGAUGGGAGACAUGAGACUCUAACUCAAGAAAAAAAGAAAAUGGACUGGAGCAGCCUGGAGGCAUAUGAGACACAAACUGAAUGAUGAGACCCUACCACCUCCCAGGAUGGACGUCUCUGCUGUGAAUACCUGGAUAACUGGUACAUUCUCACCUGGGAUUGUGGUUGCUUGAUGUGAGCUCUCUGUGGGGAAAAUGAGGUCAGGCUGUGUGAGCAUCUCUGUAGAGUAGUGAGCAACUAUAAAGUGUAUGCACGUGGACUCUGGCCUGGCUGUGUCUCCUUAACUAUGAAUUAUGUCCCGGUGCCAUCUCGGCAGGUGUCAGCAGGAGAGUUGGCUUCUGAAGUGAAUACUGGACACCACAUAGCACUCUGUUGUCGCAGCGCUCAGGUCCCUCCUGCCUGAGCUGACUUCGUUUGCAGUGGCCUCCACAGUUUCUGAAGUGA